RNAcentral lists this small nucleolar RNA (136 nucleotides) under Acanthisitta chloris (rifleman). Lineage: Eukaryota; Metazoa; Chordata; Aves; Passeriformes; Acanthisittidae. The record is from RNAcentral.
AAGCACUGCCUUUGAACCUGAUAUGUCUUGUUUGUAGCUUCACGGGCCAAGCCACAAUGCUAGAGCAUAAGGACUUGUUAUAACUGGGGCUCUUCAGCUCUCAUCUGAACUGCUCUUUUAAAAACAAGGUACAUUU